GGUCAAGCUACAAAGAGCUAACGGUGGAUACCUAGGCACACAGAGGCGAAGAAGGACGUGGCGACCGACGAAACGCUCCGGGGAGUUGGAAGCAAGCUGUGAACCGGAGAUCUCCGAAUGGGGCAACCCAAUAACGGGUGAGUAAAUACAUAGCUCACCACGAGCGAACCCAGCGAACUGAAACAUCUUAGUAGCUGGUGGAAGAGAAAGCAAAAGCGAUUCCCCUAGUAGCGGCGAGCGAAGCGGGACCAGCCUAAACCAUCCAGUAUAUCUAGAUGGGGUCGUGGGACAAGAAUCAGGGAAUUCUUAAGCUAGACGAAGCUGUUGAAUGCAGCACCAGAGAAGGUGAAAGUCCUGUAAUUGAAAGUGGCAGAAUACCUCUUGAAUCCCGAGUAGCCAGGGGCACGUGAAAUCCCUGGUGAAUCAGCGAGGACCACCUCGUAAGGCUAAAUACUCCUGUGUGACCGAUAGUGAAAAAGUACCGCGAGGGAAAGGUGAAAAGAACCCCGGAAGGGGAGUGAAAUAGAACAUGAAACCGUUAGCUUACAAGCAAUGGAAGGACGAUUUAACGUCUGACCGUGUGCCUGUUGAAGAAUGAGCCGGCGAGUUACAGGUUGUGGCAGGUUAAGGCUUAAACAGCUGUAGCCAAAGCGAAAGCGAGUCUGAAUAGGGCGUAUUAAGUCACAAUUUGUAGACCCGAACCCGGGUGAUCUAACCAUGUCCAGGAUGAAGCUUGGGUAACACCAAGUGAAGGUCCGCACCGACCGAUGUUGAAAAAUCGGCGGAUGAGGUGUGGUUAGGGGUGAAAUGCCAAUCGAACCCGGAGCUAGCUGGUUCUCCCCGAAAUGUGUUGAGGCGCAGCGGUUAGGGCUAUAGCUGGGGGGUAAAGCACUGUUUCGGUGCGGGCUGCGAGAGCGGUACCAAAUCGAGACAAACUCUGAAUACCCAGUGUGUACCUAGCCAGUGAGACGGUGGGGGAUAAGCUUCAUCGUCAAGAGGGAAACAGCCCAGACCACCAGCUAAGGCCCCCAAAUGAAGGCUAAGUGAUUAAGGAGGUGGGAGUGCAAAGACAACCAGGAGGUUUGCCUAGAAGCAGCCAUCCUUGAAAGAGUGCGUAAUAGCUCACUGGUCAAGCGCUCCUGCGCCGAAAAUGAACGGGGCUAAGUCUUCUGCCGAAGCUGUGGGAUAUGAAUAAUAUCGGUAGGGGAGCGUUCCGCCUUAGGGUGAAGCACUAGCGGCAAGCAGGUGUGGACGAAGCGGAAGUGAGAAUGUCGGCUUGAGUAGCGCAAACUAGGGUGAGAAUCCCUAGCCCCGAAACCCCAAGGUUUCCUCCGGAAGGCUCGUCCACGGAGGGUUAGUCAGGGCCUAAGGCGAGGCCGAAAGGCGUAGUCGAUGGAUAACGGGUUAACAUUCCCGUACCGUUACAAGUUGGUGCCGGAGGACGGAGAAGGCGGCUUUCAUCCAGGUAUUGGUUGUCCUGGUGCAAACAUUCAAGGCUUUGAGGUCUGGUGAAAACAGACUGAGCUUAGGUGUGAGUCCGAGUCGCUACGGCGACGAAGUGAACAGCGUCAUACUUCCUAGAAAAGCCCGAAACACCUUAAACUUUUAAUGCCUGUACCCCAAACCGACACAGGUGGGGAAGUAGAGUAUACUAAGGGGCGCGAGAUAACUCUCUCUAAGGAACUCGGCAAAAUGACCCCGUAACUUCGGGAGAAGGGGUACCCUCGCAAGAGGGUCGCAGUGAAUAGAUCCAGGCGACUGUUUACCAAAAACACAGGUCUCCGCUAACUCGCAAGAGGAUGUAUGGGGGCUGACGCCUGCCCAGUGCCGGAAGGUUAAGGAAGUUGGUCAGCGUAAGCGAAGCUAGCGACUGAAGCCCCGGUGAACGGCGGCCGUAACUAUAACGGUCCUAAGGUAGCGAAAUUCCUUGUCGGGUAAGUUCCGACCCGCACGAAAGGCGUAACGAUCUGGAUGCUGUCUCGGAGAGAGACUCGGCGAAAUAGGAUUGUCUGUGAAGAUACGGACUACCUGCACUUGGACAGAAAGACCCUAUGAAGCUUUACUGUAGCCUGGCAUUGUGUUCGGGCUUCGCUUGCGCAGGAUAGGUGGGAGGCAGAGAACGUUCUCUUGUGGGAGAACGGGAGCCGUCCGUGAGAUACCACUCUGGCGAGGCUAGGAUUCUAACCAUUUCCCGUUACCCGGGAGUGGGACAUUUUCAGGUGGGCAGUUUGACUGGGGCGGUCGCCUCCUAAAAGGUAACGGAGGCGCGCAAUGGUUCCCUCAGGCUGGUUGGAAAUCAGCCAUCGAGUGCAAAGGCAUAAGGGAGCUUGACUGCAAGAGUGACAACUCGAGCAGGGACGAAAGUCGGCCUUAGUGAUCCGACGGCGCUACGUGGAAAGGCCGUCGCUCAACGGAUAAAAGUUACUCUAGGGAUAACAGGCUGAUCUCCCCCAAGAGUCCACAUCGACGGGGAGGUUUGGCACCUCGAUGUCGGCUCAUCGCAACCUGGGGCGGAAGUACGUCCCAAGGGUUGGGCUGUUCGCCCAUUAAAGCGGUACGUGAGCUGGGUUCAGAACGUCGUGAGACAGUUCGGUCCAUAUCCGGUGCAGGCGCAAGAGCAUUGAGAGGAGCCCUCCUUAGUACGAGAGGACCGGGAGGGACGCACCGCUGGUCUGCCAGUUAUCGUGCCAACGGUAAACGCUGGGUAGCCAUGUGCGGAGCGGAUAACCGCUGAAAGCAUCUAAGUGGGAAGCCCACCUCAAGAUGAUUGCUCUCAUGGGGUUUACCCAGUAAGGUCACAGGAAGAACACCUGUUUAUAGGCGCUCGGUGGAAGAUCAGUAAUGAUUGCAGCUUAGGCGUACUAACAGACCGAGGGCUUGACCUA
This 2885-nucleotide ribosomal RNA is filed under the name Limnofasciculus baicalensis BBK-W-15. RNAcentral's name for it is "23S ribosomal RNA". It matches the Rfam family "Bacterial large subunit ribosomal RNA". Lineage: Bacteria; Bacillati; Cyanobacteriota; Cyanophyceae; Coleofasciculales; Coleofasciculaceae. The record is from RNAcentral.